This 261-nucleotide ribosomal RNA is filed under the name uncultured bacterium. RNAcentral describes it as "partial 16S ribosomal RNA". It matches the Rfam family "Bacterial small subunit ribosomal RNA", at positions 793 to 1055 of the family's 1533-position model. The record is from RNAcentral.
GUCCACGCCCUAAACGAUGAAUACUCGAUGUCGGCUCGCAAGGGUCGGUGUCUAAGCUAACGCAUUAAGUAUUCCACCUGGGGAGUACGAUCGCAAGGUUGAAACUCAAAGGAAUUGACGGGGCCCGCACAAGCAGUGGAGCAUGUGGUUUAAUUCGAUGCAACGCGAAGAACCUUACCUGGGUUUGAAAGGCUCUGUAAACCGGUGAAAGCCGGCUAGUGUAGCAAUACACACGGAGUACAGGUGCUGCAUGGCUGUCGU